GUGUUAGAUUCUACAGCACAUUUAGUAAAUUGGUAUCGUACAAAGAAGAUAAAUAUGGCCUCUGUGCAGUAUGACAUGCAAAUUUGGGAAUCAUUCCAUAUUUUU
This is a small nuclear RNA of Delphinapterus leucas (beluga whale), 105 nucleotides long. The record is from Ensembl. NCBI's taxonomy places the organism in Eukaryota, Metazoa, Chordata, Mammalia, Artiodactyla, Monodontidae.